CGCAGCCUCACACCAGAUCGGCACGCGAUACCGCAUUGCAUCAUAGACACAACACGCGCACACAAACGCAAGCGCUGCAGAAAAAAAGAAGUGGGGAAGGCACACCAAGUCGGAGUGAUGCGCACGCGUACAGCGGCUGCAUCGCAAUACCCUUGACACACUCCCAACCCUUCCCCCCCCUUCAAACCUCGUGCAACGUAUCGCAUCAGGCAAGCGUCGACGCUGUACCCAACCAACACGCACUCUCCCCACCGCCAUACACGCAUACAUACUUCCAUAGAAGGUGUUAGGCGGUCAACUUCAUACCAGCCUAAAGCAAGGCAACUCUGCCGGCAUCCUAAUCAGCAGCAAAGACGGCAGCCCCCUCCCUCCACCGCGGCGGCAGCGCCGUCAUCACCUGCGGAAAAUGCCAUCCUUGCAGGAGUACUGGCAGAGCGGCUUCCGCGGGCUGCACAUCGAGGAAUGUAUCAGCAACGUGUUUGCCGACUUCGCCCCCUACGCCAGUGCUGACCAGCAGCGCAUUGUCGUCUCCCGCCAGACGCCGGCUCCUGGCAGACCAGUAGCGUGGAGCAGCGACGCAGCAGCGGUCGCCGCCGUUGUGGGCACCCCUAUCAGCCCGACGUCGCACGUCGCGUCCUCGUCGUCUGUCAUCGUUGAGGAGAACGGGGACUUCACGGUGCAGAUGCGCCACCCGCACGCUGGCUCGCUGGCGUUCUCCACGACGGGCCACAUGCAGAUGGAAGCGGCCGUGCGUGUUGACAUACCGGUACGUUCAUCCACGUCGGGCCGAACUGGCCCCACCACGGGUACAGAAAGGGCCGUGGCUGAGGUGACUGCGCUGUCGGCCUUGUCUCCGACGAGAGAGUCGGUCUACGGAGCCAUCGGACAACGCCGCGCGGAUGGCAGCACUGAUAAGGCUACGAGCGCGGCCGCUAAAACAGCGGCGGCGGCGGUGGUCACGCACCCCGUGGCGAAACCAGCGCCGUCGUACCUGCGUUUCAGCGACUUUACCAGGCCUCUCACGAUGGCUGCAAGCGAGGCCACGGCUGACAGCACCAACACUGCUGGUGCACCAGCACCGUGGGGGCAACUAGAGCUUGACAUGUCUCUCCCGAACUGGUCUGCCAGCCGACAGAGCAUCGGGGCCCGCGCUGGACCUGCUGCGCUGAGAGUGAAUCGUGCCCUGUCUGCCGUGGCCGCUUCGGCCGCCAGGUCACCCACGAACUCCACCUCGCUCUCCGAGGACGACGUGGCCGGCACUGCUGGCGGCGGCGCGGGUCACCGGUAUCAGUACACACUCGACGCCGCCGUUUGCGUGCCGUUUGGCGGCAGCGGCGCUGAUGCAUCGAGAGCGGCGAGGCGGAUGCUUGACGGCAAGCCGGUCGUAGUGCUGCCAACAGCGCCGUGGGCACUGACGUGCGGCAUGCAGCUCCCUCUCGCGCUGGGCGACACCCUCGUCGGCAUCUCACUGCAGAACGACCGUGCGUCGUCCGUGACGACGCCGCUCCCUGGCGUGGAGUGGAUCAUGACGGCUCCUGCUGCAACCCCGUCGGACGCCUCCUCUUUGCCAGUCGAUCCGCUGGUGUCCGCCGCCGACGAGGCGCGCUACGCCGCGUGUGUACCCUCUCUUUUGUAUCCGAGUCACAGUAUCAGCAGCAGCGGCUCUGGCGACGCCGCCUCGCCUUCCAGCGCCGCAGCGACACCGGCGUACGUGGCCAUCCCAUCGAUCACAGUUCGCCUCUUGCUCGUGCAGACGCUGGCCAGCCAUACCCUUGUGCGCCGCGACGCAUCGGAUCUGUCCGCCUCGCAGCUGGACAUGAGCGGGAGUGGAUAUGGCGCCAGCACCAAUGGCUCCCGUAUCGCCUCCUCGUACGACUGGCGUCAGCUUCCCACGUUGUUGGGCGUCAAUGUCGGCUUCGACCGCGAUCGAUUACGCAUGAGCGCCGCAUCGAUCCUGCACAAUGGUGAGAUCGACCUGGAGGCGGCGGCGGUGCUCGACGUGACACCGUGGAUGCCACGAAUGCCAACCUUGCUCAAGCUGGGGUACAACAACGCCGGACGACUAGCAGCGGGCAUCACGUCGCUCUUCUACGAAACGGUGACGGCCACGCUGGGGAUGCACAUGGCACGUGGAGAGCAGGCGAGGUUUGGCAUUGAGGUCAGCUUCUAGAGGCAGACGCGACCACAAACUUGCACCGCUCUCCUGGUGCUUUACUGAUGUCCUUCUUGGCGGAGCACGUCGAAGGAUGCAGCAUGCGUAUACACUGGCUCACAUUGGACGGGAGCGAAGCAGCGGCGUAACUCUUUACUUCUCUCUCCCCCUCCCACGAUGCUAACUUGUUCGUUCUUUUCUUAUUCUCAUCUGUUCACGCGUGCACGCGUUUGUAUGUGCGAGGGCUCAGCAGAAAGCGGUGGGGCAAGAGAAUGCGUUCGUGUGGUUUUCAUCUGCCCAACACUUCCCGCACCAACCGCACUGCAGAUGACGCGCACGUCUGAUGAGCGAUUUCACGCUUUACGCUCUCGGUCUUGACGUUUUGUGUUGUUUCUCCUCCGGUUUUCGGUUUGCACGGCGUGCUGUCCGCUGGCGAUGCCGAAUACACACUGUCCUCCUCUCGCCCUGUACGUGCGUCGGUGUGUGGGUCAUUUCACGGACUCCCGAGGAGCGACGCCACUCGCGCCUUCUCCCUACGCCAGGCACGUCGUGUGUCUGUGCGCCUCUUCACUUGCGCGUGCCUAAGCGGCGGUGGGGGAGGGGGGUUCGGAGCGGCAUCACUGUGUGCUCCGACUGGACUAAGCUGUAAGCUGCCCAGUGGCGCGCGCUGCUGCCGGCGAUGGUCGGUUUUCGUUUCCAGAUUGUGUCUCGGUGUGUAUUCCUUUGCUCGCCGGUCGUCGCAGUCGGUUGUCGUGUCAUCGUCAGCCUCCUCCAUCAUAGAGCAGCCGUGUCGUAUCCAAGCAACUCUCACCCAUGCCCCAAGCAUGCGUGGUCAACGUGAUGCCGUCCCCCGCGCGGGUCUCUUUUCCUCGUGUCUGUGUGGGGUAGCCCAUAACAUGCCAGCGCCGCCGCCGUUUUCCUUCCUCCACGCUCAUCGCCAACAGCUGUCUGUCUCUCGUGUGGGUACACCAGCACAGAGGUGCGAUAGCCUCGCACGUGCCGUCGUGGUUCUUGCGCUGAGAUCGCAGACAGCACUGCCCGUUGAGCAACGUGCGGAAGAGGAGAGGGGCAAGGAAAGUGCGUGGCUUGCGGGCCUGUACGUGCCCGUGUGCAUGCGUGAAAGGAGGGGAGGGGCGGUCUCUCGCUCAGCAGGGUAGUACGUCGUCCUCCGCCAGCGCGAGACAGCGGCACGAACGCUGAGAAACCGAGGCGCGCCCACGCAGGCGCAACGGUGUCGCCACUUGCGCAGCGCAGAAAGAGAAAAAGAGCAUACGCAUCCUGCACCCUGUCUCCCACCCUCCCCCCCCCCGGCACUUUCAGAAGAAGUAUGCGCGGGCCGUGACGCUGGCAAAGGCGCCGGCCUCCGCACUGCUCCGUCCACCCCCUCUUCCCCUCUUUUUCUACGGAUGCACCUUUAGUACUAUCGUUUCUCCUCUCUCUGCCCAUCGGUGCCUUUUGUGCUCUUCUCCGCCCUCCGGGCUGAGUCCACUGGACCUCUCCCCUUCUUGCAAACCCACCGCCUGAUGUGAGCUGCGGCGCGCUGCUGUUUUCUGCUGUCGUCGUUGUGCAUGCAUGCCAAG
Molecule: unclassified non-coding RNA, 3732 nt
Filed under: Leishmania donovani
Lineage: Eukaryota; Euglenozoa; Kinetoplastea; Trypanosomatida; Trypanosomatidae
Description: gene:LdHU3.22.1330(CDS-product:hypothetical_prote in_conserved)
Source: RNAcentral